GGACUACCCGGGUAUCUAAUCCUGUUUGCUCCCCUAGCUUUCGUGCCUCAGUGUCAGGAAGUGUCCAGGGACUCGCCUUCGCCACUGGUGUUCCACUUGAUAUCUACGCAUUUCACUGCUACACCAAGUAUUCCAGUCCCCCCUCCACUCCUCUAGCCAGAUAGUAUCCAAUGCAGUUUCUGGGUUGAGCCCAGAGAUUUCACAUCAGACUUACCUGACCACCUACGCACCCUUUACGCCCAGUGAAUCCGAACAACGCUUGGGACCUCUGUAUUACCGCGGCUGCUGGCAC
Molecule: ribosomal RNA, 292 nt
Filed under: uncultured Verrucomicrobiota bacterium
Lineage: Bacteria; Pseudomonadati; Verrucomicrobiota
Description: uncultured Verrucomicrobia bacterium partial 16S ribosomal RNA
Source: RNAcentral